Non-coding RNA from Meleagris gallopavo (turkey), 4093 nucleotides. The record is from RefSeq and is a predicted model, not a curated record. NCBI's taxonomy places the organism in Eukaryota, Metazoa, Chordata, Aves, Galliformes, Phasianidae.
GCCCGAGGCGGGUCUGCCAACCUCGGCCGUGCCACACAACCCGCGGCGGGCGGAGACACCGCCCCCAUAGGAUCGCGUGUUAAAGCAGAACCUCCCCCCGCCCUCAGCCGCAGUUGAAAUGAAUUCUACUGCUAUAGUAACUCAUACUACGACCACACACCGGGAUGGAGCUGGUGAGGUAGCGCACAGGCUGGGCACGCGUCGUGCCGGUUGAGUGCUCGCAGCAGCGCGGUGCUCGCACUGCUGCUGCGGUGCCCAGUCCAGGGUAACCCAGAGGAGCGCAGCGUGGGCUGCGGGAUGACGCACCUCUCCUGCAAUACACACAGGCGACUAUAUGGGCAGCGCUGAUUCCCUAUCGCCGUGUAACACCAGCAGUGCUCUCCUUCCUUCCAGCUACCUGUGGCAUCGCAUCAUGCCCGGAGCUGUCCAGACACGAGGCCCUUCUGAGCCCUCACCUGACGCCCAUCCAUCCGAAAGACCGCUGUUCCCUCCUUGCCGCGGGCCUAUCUCACACGGAGCAGUCCAGCUGACACUGCCCCAAAGUGAAGGAGAUGGCAUCUACUCCUGACUUACUUACACGGAGCCACAGGAGAAGUGCCACAGAACAUAGCCACGUUACGUCAUGGGAGACAGCCUAAUUGCCAAGUGGGGCUGCAGUCAGGGUGUACACAUUUCACCACGUGCAGACAAACUUGUAUGGUGUAUUAAAGUCUGCAGCCAUUUUAAUCUCUUACAGAGGGAAAAAAAAAAAAAGCAGGGUUUAUGUGAAUUCUUUAAUUAGACAUAAAAUUGCCAUGCAAAGACUCUAAGGAAGUAAGUGGUUAUGCAGUUGGAAUCCUAGAGGAAAAAGUAAACAACUUUACUGAGAAAAACAGAUUGAAAACAAUCAUGAUAUUAAGAGGAGAACGGAUGGAGGUUUGGACUCUCUCUUUUUUCCCCCUUCCCUUUUGAAACCUAAGAAUAUCUGCAGCUCAUCUUCAACUUGAUCCCUCUUUAGUAUUUCUCAGCAUGUACUACUUCAGUACCGUGGUCAUUCUUGACCAGAACUUGGUACACAACUGUGUACAGGAGCUCCAGCAUUAGAAGCCAUAGCAUCAGCACUUUUCUUGGUCUCUAAGAGAACGCACCUCAUCUGAGCCAACCCCUUAUUUAUGCCAAACUUUUGCAAAUUACUUAACAUGCCUAGAAGACCCAAACCCCCCAUGGUGUGCUGCUGAAAGGCAGUUGGCAUGACCAGAUGCCUAGCCUCACACAUACCGUGGCUCUGGAACCACCACCAGGCAGCUCAGUGCCCAGGGCUCUGCUGGGCAUGGGUUGUCCUUUGUGUAGCACCAGGCUCUGGCUUACAUUAUCAUACCCAGCCCUGCCUGACAUACACUGCUAGGUUAAGCAAGGCAACUUGGCUAGUUUGGCAAAGGGAACAAAGCUUUUAAAAAUGUGAUGUGGCGAGAUAGCAUUAGAAUCCAGGAUGUGUGCCUUCAAGAGUCAAGGACAGCUUAAAACAAAACAAUUUUUUUAAAAAAGCAAGAAGAAUAGGAAGAGAAGGCACACCACGUGAUAUGUUACUGAGAAGGAACUUCACAUGUGAGCUAAGGAAAUACAGCAUUGUAAACGUGCUAUUUAUAUAGUGCUGAAAGCGUACUUUUACAGGGACAUAAACACUCUUCACCCCAGUGCAUAUAAUCUGCCCUUCAGAAGCAGAUCAAGACAGUGCUCUACUAGAGCCAAUUCAGUCUUUGUUCAAAAACCAAACAAAUCUCAACUUUUGGUUUGAAAAUUUGGUUUGGGCUCAAAGUCGCUCAACUGGUCCAUGCCUUGCCCAUAAAGAAAGUGAUCUUCCAAACACUGAAGGUAAGAUUUUACACAGAGACUGUGAUCACUUCUGUUAUUUAACUUUUUUUUUUUUUAAAGCUGCACCAUACAGAUUCAGGAGGAAAAAGUAAAAAGAAAACAAAACUUUAUCCAAGCUUUAACUUCAGGACCAAAGGACUUUCAGAUGUUUAUGUCUAGUGGCAACUCAUAUCAUAAACACUUGCUUCCAGCAUCAUGACUGAGUAAGCCUGUAGUCCAACAAAGUCUCUCAGACUUGGUGCUUCUCCACAUGCCACACAAGUAUGUUUGCAUAGGUAAAAGAAAACUAUAGGCAAACUCUGCUAAUGCACCUAUCCUCUACUCAAAGUUGUUGUCUUUGAUGAUUGUUCGGAGUCACUUCUCAAUGACCAGAGGCUCUGCAGAGUGGGGAAGAGAAAACCAGAACCAGCCUUUCCAAAGAUAAAGUUGAAAAAAAAGCAAAUGAGCAAAAAUAAAUAAAUAAAUAAAUAAUAAUAAUAAUAGUAAUAAAAAGCUCCUUUUACCUGAUAUUAAACACGUAUCCUAUCUUGUUUUGAAUUGAUCUGGAGGAAAUUGUAGUUGGCAGUGACUCUCAAAUAUAUGAUCAAUCAUUCUGCUUUUUUAUAUGUACGUGAAAGACACAACUUGCCAGAGUGGAAUGCAUGUACCUCACAAAAUAUUUGAGACACCUAUAGUGAGAUUAUUUUUCCUCUUUUCUGCUUUCUUAGUUCUUACCCAUUUCUCUGGAGGUAACGUGUGCCAAAUAACUGGCAGUCUGGCACAACAGCACUUAUAUUCCAAGUAUUAUGAAAGAUAGAUAACAAGAAGCCUGUUGCUUUUCUUUUCAGGGGAGCUGAACAAUGAAUCUUAUAUGGCAUCAGUAGGUACAGAUUUAAAUCUCUCUCCACUGUUACUCUCUGCUUCUGUGACAUGAAGUUAAGGCCCAAAUCCUACAAAAUAUUUAACAGGAAAAAUCUCACAGCCCAAAAGUUUCCCCAAGGCAAUAUUUGCAUACAAUUUGUUGCAAGAUUAGGAUCAGAGACUUUUUUCUCCCUAUUUUUCUGCCUCAUUGGGUGUUAUUUUGGACUUGCUAUGUUUUUCAGUUUACAUUGUUUUGACUAGAGUCAAAACUGUUGUUACAUUUAAGUCAGUGUCCACUUUACUAAUUGAUGGGCUGCUGAAGAUCAGCCACGGAGAUUUAGAUUGCAGAGCAAGAAUCUGGCUCAAAGAAGUGAUUACAUGAGAUAUGUAAGGAGCAAAGCCUGUAAGACUGAUUCAUACCAUAAAUGAUUUGACCAAGAGUACAAGGCUGUGGUACAUUCACAGUGAAAAUAUGGCACCUGGUUACAGUGUCUGGCUUCCAUCCAACUUCUUCCAUCCAACUUUAGCUGUCCUCCUUUUGCAGGUAUCAAAGCAUUUUAUAAAUACCAGUCAAGUAGAAUAAAAUCUGCUCCUUUCAAAUAUUUAGUUACUGUCUACCAGUGCUUUAUAAUACAGAGAACAUACCUCUGCUCUCCUGGAACACGGCAGGAAGCAGAAGUUUCUCUUUUGAAGGCAAUGGAGUUCCUCUGCCUCUGACUUCCAAGCAGUGUCUAACCCAGCUAUAUAUUUUAAUCUAACAGUAAGAUUUUUACUUCAGAAUUUGUUUUCAUUCUGAAUCUGAGAAAGUGGACACACUGUAGAUAUCUUGUAAAAAAAUUGUGUAACCAUGCUUGUCAUCAACAUUUUAAAUAGUAGCACCAAUAUUGCAAUACUUACUUUACCACUGUAUUGAAAACAAAAGCAACUGAAAUGAAAGUCAGCACGAAAUGUUUUCCUCUUUUCAGAGUAAACAAGAAUAUUGAUAUAAUGCAUUUCUGCUCUCUGCUUUUUAAAAUGGCAUUGAAAACAACAUAAUCUCACAAUAAAUUUUAGAUUUCACUUAACUUUCCAACUGGAAAGUGUAAAGACAAAUAUUUCAGGAUUGGUCCUACUUGGUAGUGCUUUGCAAAUGCUCUCUAUUAACCUAAAUGACUGCAUAAGUUAGAGGAAAAAGGUAAACCUGGCCCUCUGAGAGCAAAGGAGCAUGUGGUACAUGUUAAUGGCUAUCAAUUCACAUAUACUUGCUUACAGAGAUCUGUGGCAGCUCUGAGUGUUUCACUGUGUCCAAUUUCUUCUUGUAUAAAUAAAGAAGAGCAUGAAUACUUGAAAAGAUGAAGGUUCCUCUGGAGCCGAAGAGCCAGCACUACUACAAAGAAAUUCUUAUGCCUCUUUAAUUACCCUC